RNAcentral lists this long non-coding RNA (449 nucleotides) under Olea europaea subsp. europaea. Lineage: Eukaryota; Viridiplantae; Streptophyta; Magnoliopsida; Lamiales; Oleaceae. The record is from RNAcentral.
AGAACAGCUUUGAAAAUUUAUACUUAUAAUUUCAAUUUUAUCUAAUUUGUCCUGUCAAUAGGAAGUCAUUACUCUUUCGACACAAGAAAAGGAAUUUUCUACACCCCUUUCUUGUGUCGAAGACUAGGAAGACGAAUAAUCCCUCCUAGAAUUAUUUGCUCCCCGCUUACUUAUGCUAAUAUCUAGUCCAAUUUUAUGGCAAUUGAAAUCUGUCAAUAGUAACAUAGGCGCACCACUUCAAUUUGGCUAAAAAAAAAAAAAAGAGAAUAAGGGUUUUAAACAUAAAGAUUCCACUGACCUGUAAAAAGUGGGCCUAACCCUUGGAGAUGCGGUAAUACCUCUAACAAAUCAUUCCAUCGAACAUACUCCCCUCUGGAUCCAGGAAUAGCGACAUGUACUAAAUGUCUUGUCCAAGCCAAGGAACUUACGCCAAAGAGUCAUCAUAGAAA